GCAUUCGAGCACUACGACUUUGUCGGAUUUUGGGUUAAGGGCACUAGACCAUCCCGCUAACAUCGGAGAAGCUGCAGUCGAUCCGCAGCUUUUUGUUUUGUCGCUGAUCUUGCUAUUCCCGUGAUCGAAAAUUGGAGCCAGUUUCGAGUGGGAGAACGAAUUCUAUGAAUUCCAACUGUCGUGGGCAGUUGUGAGCCCUCCCAGAACAGCUGGAGAAUCACCAAAAACCUCGACUCGACAUCGACUGGAACUUCGCUGCGACGCCGCUGUGUUUCGACAUCUCGUCGUGGAUAUCGAAGGAGGCAGGUGCCCAUGGUACUUCCAUUCCAUCGCAUUAAGAUUAAGUAUUAGUCGCCUUACCUUUUCUUUAUUGUAUCGCAACACGUUUCGAAGUUCGGCGUAACUAGCACUCGCACAUAACCUAGUAAUAACAAUCGGUAAGAGUGUGACGCUUCGCUCUACGUUAAUACCUUCGUACGUACGUUAGGACUACCGAGCGUGUGGCCUACUUCGUUUAUCUCAUAGCCCUCGAAAUAAUUAAUCAAAUCGUUAUUCGUUACGACCCCAACUAACUUGUUCGUUUCGUAAACAUCGUUCGUAUCGCUCGUAUUUAUCGUUAAUUAGUUCAUCGCCUUUCGUAAUUAAACUAUCGUUCGUAUUGCUCGUAUUCAUCGUAAACCGUUAGUCGCAUUAAAUCGUUAUCAUUAAUAUCUUACUCAUUUCCUUUUGCUUACUUAUUUAGUUAUUUAUCACUCUUAUUUUAUUUUUAAUUAGUGACCUUAGGUUUUCUUGUAACCAAUAAUUUAAGUAACAGCUUGCAAUUACAAUAGUUAAAUAUUUUUCCGGUUUUUUGUUGUUGUAAUUGUGUCUUAAUAAAAACUGGUGGCGCCCUGGCGACGUCGCUACACAAAACAG
This is a long non-coding RNA of Zophobas morio, 915 nucleotides long. RefSeq lists it as uncharacterized. The transcript has 2 exons. Lineage: Eukaryota; Metazoa; Arthropoda; Insecta; Coleoptera; Tenebrionidae. The record is from RefSeq and is a predicted model, not a curated record.